This 2877-nucleotide ribosomal RNA is filed under the name human gut metagenome. RNAcentral's name for it is "bacterial LSU rRNA". It matches the Rfam family "Bacterial large subunit ribosomal RNA". The record is from RNAcentral.
UCAAGCGAACAAGGGCGCAGGGCGAAUGCCUUGGCACUGGGAGCCGAUGAAAGACGUGAUAAGCUGCGAUAAGCUUCGGGGAGGAGCAAAUAUCCCGUGAUCCGGAGAUGUCUGAAUGGGGAAACCCGGUACGAAGAACUCGUAUCAUCCAUACGCCAAUCCAUAACGUAUGGAAGGGAACCCGGUGAACUGAAACAUCUAAGUAGCCGGAGGAAGAGAAAGAAACAUCGAUUUCCUGAGUAGCGGCGAGCGAAAGGGAAAGAGCCUAAACCGAGAUGCGUGCAUUUCGGGGUAAUGGACUACAAUAAGUGAGCAAAAAGAUAGAAGAACAGGCAGGAAAGCCUGGCCGAAGAAAGUGAAAGCCUUGUAUUCGAAAUCUGAAUUGCAGCGAGUAGUAUCCGGAGUACUGCGGGACACGAGAAACCCUGCAGGAAGUCGGGGGGACCACCCCCCAAGGCUAAAUACUACUCAGUGACCGAUAGCGCAUAGUACUGUGAAGGAAAGGUGAAAAGGACCCCGGGAGGGGAGUGAAAGAGAACCUGAAACCCUGUGUUUACAAGCUGUGGAACCACCAUACGAGUGGAACCGCGUACUUUUUGUAGAACGGUCCGGCGAGUCACGCCGGCUGGCAAGGUUAAGGACUAAAGGUCCGGAGCCGAAGGGAAACCAAGUCUUAAUAGGGCGAAGAGUCAGUCAGCGUGGACCCGAAAUCGGGUGAUCUACCCAUGUCCAGGAUGAAGCUGCCGUAAGAGGUAGUGGAGGUCCGAACACACAUCCGUUGAAAAGGGUGGUGAUGAGGUGUGGGUAGGGGAGAAAUUCCAAUCGAACCCGGAGAUAGCUGGUUCUCCUCGAAAUAGCUUUAGGGCUAGCCUUCAGUUAGUCUGCCGCAGGUAGAGCACUGAAUUUCCUAGGGGGCGUCAAAGCCUACCGAAGAAUAUCAAACUCCGAAUGGCGGACAGAUGAUGCCAGGGAGUCAGACUGCACGAGAUAAGUUGGGUGGUCAAAAGGGAAAGAGCCCAGACCUACAGCUAAGGUCCCAAAGUGCGUGUUAAGUGGAAAAGGAUGUGGGAUUUCGAAGACAACUAGGAUGUUGGCUCAGAAGCAGCCAUACAUUCAAAGAGUGCGUAAUAGCUCACUAGUCGAGAGGUCCUGCGCCGAAAAUGUCCGGGGCUGAAACACGACACCGAAGCUUAGGAAUCAGAAAUGAUUGGUAGAGGAGCAUUCUUAAAUCAUCGAAGCUGUACCGAUAAGGAGCAGUGGAGGUUUAAGAAGAGAGAAUGCCGGAAUGAGUAGCGAGAAUGAAGUGAGAAUCUUCAUGGCCGAAUAUCCAAGGUUUCCAGGGUAAAGCUGAUCUGCCCUGGGUUAGUCGGGGCCUAAGGCGAGGCUGAGAAGCGUAGCUGAUGGACAACAGGUUGAAAUUCCUGUACUGCCUUAUAACAGAACUGUGGGGACACAUGUUCAGGUCGCGAGCCGGGAAAGGAAAGCCCGGUGCAAGCAGAGGUUAUCGGUGGGAGGCAAACCCCCCACAAAAGAGAAGACUGCGAUGCGGAGCGAAGAAAAGUAGCGAAGAGCGAUGAGAAUGUGUCGAGAAAAGCCGCUAUUGUUUAUAAGGUACCCGUACCGUAAACCGACACAGGUGGAUGAGGAGAGAAUCCUAAGGCCGGCGGGAGAAGCAUUGUUAAGGAACUCGGCAAAAUGACCCCGUAACUUCGGGAGAAGGGGUGCCUGCGAGAGCAGGCCGCAGAGAAUAGGCUCAAGCAACUGUUUAGCAAAAACACAGGUCUAUGCAAAACCGAAAGGUGAGGUAUAUGGGCUGACGCCUGCCCGGUGCUGGAAGGUUAAGAGGAGAGGUUAGCGCAAGCGAAGCUUUGAAUUUAAGCCCCAGUAAACGGCGGCCGUAACUAUAACGGUCCUAAGGUAGCGAAAUUCCUUGUCGGGUAAGUUCCGACCCGCACGAAAGGCGUAAUGAUUUGAGCACUGUCUCGACAAUGCACCCGGUGAAAUUGAAGUACCAGUGAAGAUGCUGGUUACCUGCGCCAGGACGGAAAGACCCCAUGGAGCUUUACUCCAGUUUGAUACUGGGAUUCGGUACUGCACGUACAGGAUAGGUGGGAGACUGAGAACUAUGGACGCCAGUCUGUAGGGAGUCGCUGUUGGGAUACCACCCCUGUAGUACUGGGUUUCUAACCAGCUGCCGUGAACCGGCAGUGGGACAAUGUCAGGCGGGGAGUUUGACUGGGGCGGUCGCCUCCGAAAGGGUAUCGGAGGCGCUCAAAGGUUCCCUCAGAAUGGUUGGAAACCAUUCGAAGAGUGCAAAGGCAGAAGGGAGCUUGACUGCGACACCGACGGGUGGAGCAGGUACGAAAGUAGGACUUAGUGAUCCGGUGGUAUAAAGUGGGAUUGCCAUCGCUCAACGGAUAAAAGCUACCCUGGGGAUAACAGGCUUAUCACUCCCAAGAGUUCACAUCGACGGAGUGGUUUGGCACCUCGAUGUCGGCUCAUCGCAUCCUGGGGCUGUAGCAGGUCCCAAGGGUUGGGCUGUUCGCCCAUUAAAGCGGUACGCGAGCUGGGUUCAGAACGUCGUGAGACAGUUCGGUCCCUAUCCUCCGUGGGCGCAGGAGAAUCGAUGGAGGCUGCCCCCAGUACGAGAGGACCGGGGUGGACGCACCUCCGGUGAACCGGUUGUCGACCAACGGCACGGCCGGGUAGCCGCGUGCGGCGCGGAUAACCGCUGAAGGCAUCUAAGCGGGAAGCCGUUCCAGGGAUUAGUUCUCCUUCCGGUAAGGGCCCAGGUAGACUACCUGGUCGAUAGACGGCAGGUGCAAGGACGGCGACGUCCUCAGCCGAGCCGCACUAAUCGCCCGAGCUCUUCCGGAA